GUUUAGCCCUGAUUGAAAUGACAUCCUUUUUAUAGUCUUUUUAGAAAAGCGUCAUUACGAGGAACGAAGUAAUCUGUUUUUAAUUAAGAGAUUGCCACAGUUUACAAAAAGUAAACUUCGCAAUGACAGAAAUAAAAAGAUAUAAUGGAAAGCAGGAAAUAGC
RNAcentral lists this small RNA (163 nucleotides) under Polaribacter sp. SA4-12. Its description in RNAcentral is "Flavo-1 RNA". It matches the Rfam family "Flavo-1 RNA". The record is from Rfam by way of RNAcentral. Lineage: Bacteria; Pseudomonadati; Bacteroidota; Flavobacteriia; Flavobacteriales; Flavobacteriaceae.